Molecule: ribosomal RNA, 463 nt
Filed under: uncultured bacterium
Lineage: Bacteria
Description: bacterial SSU rRNA
Rfam family: Bacterial small subunit ribosomal RNA
Source: RNAcentral
AGAGUUUGAUCCUGGCUCAGAUUGAACGCUGGCGGCAGGCUUAACACAUGCAAGAUCGAGCGGAAACGAGAAUAGCUUGCUAUUCGGCGUCGAGCGGCGGACGGGUGAGUAAUGCAUAGGAAGUUGCCCAGACGAGGGGGAUAACCAUUGGAAACGAUGGCUAAUACCGCAUACUCUCUUUGGAGCAAAGCAGGGGAUCUUCGGACCUUGUGCGUUUGGAUACGCCUAUGUGGGAUUAGCUAGUUGGUGAGGUAAUGGCUCACCAAGGCGACGAUCCCUAGCUGGUCUGAGAGGAUGAUCAGCCACACUGGGACUGAGACACGGGCCCAGACUUCCUACCGGGAGGCAGCAGUGGGGGAAUAUUGCACAUGGGGCGCAAGCCUGGAUGCAGCCAUGCCGCGUGUAUGGAAGAAGGCCUUCGGGGUGCUACGUACUUUCAGUCGGGGGGGAAGGGUGUGUGCCU